GGACCCGCACAAGCAGCGGAGCAUGUGGUUUAAUUCGAAGCAACGCGAAGAACCUUACCAAGGCUUGACAUCCCCCUGACAGGCCCGUAACGGGGGCCCUCCUUCGGGCAGGGGAGACAGGUGGUGCAUGGUUGUCGUCAGCUCGUGUCGUGAGAUGUUGGGUUAAGUCCCGCAACGAGCGCAACCCUUGCCGUUAGUUGCCAUCAGCCAGGCUGGGCACUCUAACGGGACUGCCGGGGACAACUCGGAGGAAGGUGGGGAUGACGUCAAAUCAUCAUGCCCCUUAUGUCUUGGGCUACACACGUGCUACAAUGGCCGGUACAAUGGGAGGCAAUAUGGCGACAUGGAGCAAAAUCACCAAAACCGGUCCCAGUUCGGAUUGCAGGCUGAAACCCGCCUGCAUGAAGCCGGAGUUGCUAGUAAUCGUGAAUCAGAAUGUCA
Molecule: ribosomal RNA, 441 nt
Filed under: uncultured Bacillota bacterium
Lineage: Bacteria; Bacillati; Bacillota
Description: bacterial SSU rRNA
Rfam family: Bacterial small subunit ribosomal RNA
Source: RNAcentral